UGCAGGUCGAGGGGCAGCAUGGAGCCAGCUUUGCUGGGGUUGAUGGCGACCGGCGCACGGGUGAGUAACGCGUAUCCGACCUGCCCUUUACUCCGGGAUAGUCUCCUGAAAGGGAGUUUAAUACCGGAUGUGUUUGUCUUUCCGCAUGGGAGCGACAAAUAAAGAUUAAUUGGUAAAGGAUGGGGAUGCGUCCCAUUAGCUUGUUGGCGGGGUAACGGCCCACCAAGGCGACGAUGGGUAGGGGUUCUGAGAGGAAGGUCCCCCACAUUGGAACUGAGACACGGUCCAAACUCCUACGGGAGGCAGCAGUGAGGAAUAUUGGUCAAUGGGCGGGAGCCUGAACCAGCCAAGUAGCGUGAAGGACGACAGCCCUACGGGUUGUAAACUUCUUUUAUAAGGGAAUAAAGUUCGCCACGUGUGGUGUUUUGUAUGUACCUUAUGAAUAAGCAUCGGCUAAUUCCGUGCCAGCAGCCGCGGUAAUACGGAAGAUGCGAGCGUUAUCCGGAUUUAUUGGGUUUAAAGGGAGCGUAGGCGGGCUUUUAAGUCAGCGGUCAAAUGUCGUGGCUCAACCAUGUCAAGCCGUUGAAACUGUAAGCCUUGAGUCUGCACAGGGCACAUGGAAUUCGUGGUGUAGCGGUGAAAUGCUUAGAUAUCACGAAGAACUCCGAUCGCGAAGGCAUUGUGCCGGGGCAUAACUGACG
This 701-nucleotide ribosomal RNA is filed under the name uncultured Bacteroidota bacterium. Its description in RNAcentral is "bacterial SSU rRNA". It matches the Rfam family "Bacterial small subunit ribosomal RNA", at positions 56 to 745 of the family's 1533-position model. Lineage: Bacteria; Pseudomonadati; Bacteroidota. The record is from RNAcentral.